GCCAGUGUAUUGUAGUGGUUUGACCAUAAGACUAGGACUCUAGAGAUCAGGGGUUCGAAUCCCCACUCAUUCA
Non-coding RNA from Phrynosoma platyrhinos (Desert horned lizard), 73 nucleotides. Lineage: Eukaryota; Metazoa; Chordata; Lepidosauria; Squamata; Phrynosomatidae. The record is from the annotation of a GenBank genome assembly.